AACGAACGCUGGCGGCAUGCCUAACACAUGCAAGUCGAACGAGACCUUCGGGUCGAGUGUCGCACGGUUGCGUAACGCGUAGGAACCUGCCAUUAGGUUCGGAAUAACUCCCCGAAAGGGGUGCUAAUACCGGAUAAUGUCUUCGGACCAGAGAUUUAUCGCCUUUGGAUGUGCCCGCGUUGGAUUAGCUAGUUGUUAGGGUAAAAGCCUACCAAGGCGACGAUCCAUAGCUGGUCUGAGAGGAUGAUCAGCCACACUGGGACUGAGACACGGCCCAGACUCCUACGGGCGGCAGCAGUGGGGAAUAUUGGACAAUGGGCGAAAGCCUGAUCCAGCACUGCCGCGUGAGUGAUGAAGGCGUUAGGGUUGUCAAGCUCUUUUAACCGGGAUGAUAAUGACAGUACCGGGAGAAUAAGCUCCGGCUAACUCCGUG
RNAcentral lists this ribosomal RNA (433 nucleotides) under uncultured bacterium. RNAcentral's name for it is "partial 16S ribosomal RNA". It matches the Rfam family "Bacterial small subunit ribosomal RNA", at positions 29 to 507 of the family's 1533-position model. The record is from RNAcentral.